This is a non-coding RNA of Elaeis guineensis (African oil palm), 215 nucleotides long. The record is from RefSeq and is a predicted model, not a curated record. NCBI's taxonomy places the organism in Eukaryota, Viridiplantae, Streptophyta, Magnoliopsida, Arecales, Arecaceae.
GACUUCUCUAUUUUGAAGGAGGCCGAAGACUCUCCUUGCUGCUCGCUGCCGAUUAGAGGAUGGCAUGGCCCUCCAUUCCUCCAAUAGAAGAGGAACGAUCCUCUCUCCUCUCCUUCUUGAUCAGAUGGGAAGUGGUUGAUACCCAAAGAGGAUCAGCACGGGAUCUCUCUCCAGCCUCCUAAUUAUGAAAUUGAUUUUCAGUCAACCAAGCAUCC